Molecule: long non-coding RNA, 1839 nt
Organism: Hippocampus zosterae (dwarf seahorse)
Lineage: Eukaryota; Metazoa; Chordata; Actinopteri; Syngnathiformes; Syngnathidae
Exons: 3
Source: RefSeq, a predicted model, not a curated record
UCUAACCCGUGGCACAUCUGUAUGCAUGUUUCCGCUAAAUCAAAUACAACAAGGCAGAAAUUACAUACUAACUGCAAAAAUGUCAACAAAAGGCAUGGAUGUUAAGUCACCGGUUUAUUUAGCUCACAAGCCACCUGGACAUCGGUUAUCAUGAUGAUUUUUGAGCGAAGUGGGAGCGUAUUAUUAUCACAGUUGUGCCAAUGCUAUUGCUAAUGUUCUUGUGCUAAUCUGCAGACACUGAAAACAAACAUUGGCUUCAAUGCCAUACUGAACAAAAAAUAUUUUAUUGUUCGUAAUAGUUUGAAAUAAGUUUCAUUUUGAAAAUCACGUGCAUCCAUCUGUGCCUCUGUCCAAAUGCUCAUUUUGGUCUCAGAAAAAGAGUAAACCCAAAAGCUGGCAAAAAUGCCCCCCCCCCCCCCUCCAAAAAAAAGUAUUCUUCCAAAAGAGGAGCAGGGCAAAUAACGAAACUCAAGAAGCACAUUCCAAGAAAAAGCUGGCUGCAUUUACUUUGUAAUAUCAGCAGGUCGGCUUAAGUUUAUUGUUCAUUUGAUAUUUGACUCUUAGCCUCCACCUUUAACCUUAUCUGCAGAAUAUGUCACAUCAGGCUCACAAAUGAGUAAAUGAAUUAAAAUUACUUCAGUAAUUUGAGCCCAAGAACUCGCUGGCAGUAAAGGAUUUUUUUUAAAGAAAAAAAAGAUUACCGGUAAUUCAUUAGCCAACAUUGUCACAUUGAAUCGAAAUAAUUCCAGGGCUCUCCCUGAUUACAACUACAAUACUUGAUAUGAAGUCUAAAAUUGAGGUUGCCUUGGAUGGAAAAGCGCAGGUGACAUAGAAAGGCUUCAUUUUUUGGAACCUAGCUACAAUGUUCUACAUACAACAUGUCUACUAUGGAACACAUGACGAGACCGGACAAUUUCUUGGAGACAAAUUACAUUAGCUACAUUCACCCGCACCACUAUUGCGGCUUCUAUUCUAUGCACCUUAUAAUGCAUUGCGCCCAAUAUAUGAAAACAGUUCUAAAAUAGGUGCCUUAUACUCCGAAACGCCUUAUAGUGCGGGAAAUACAGUAUGUCUUGACAUGAAAUAUGUUCGUCGCAUAAAAAAGGUCGAGGACCAUUGUACUGUGCUGAAGUACUAUCAGUGAUCUAAUCGAUUACUCAACUUCGACUGGACUUUUAUCACAUUGUAGUUGACUGCAAGAAAUCUGUUGUCCAAUUGAACCAAAAGGUGGAACUAACAUAUUUAAACUUGACACUUUUAUACGUUAACAAUUUCAAUAAUGCAAAAAUGCACUGUUUUUUUUGGGCAUUUUCACCUUGAGUAGCAAACUUUGCUCUAGCUUUUCUUGAGGUUUGCCAGUUUGUUUGUGAUGGGGAGACAAAGCACUUAAAAGGUGACACUUUGGAGACCCGGGAUAUUUAAACAUGACAGAAUGCGUUAGCGUCUCGGCUUUAUGCAUCUAAUGGCCCACUUUGUCUGAAGGAAAUAGGCAUGCAGUGGACUAUUUUUGCCCAAUUCAAAGGGAAAGAAAGUGUGUCAUGACCCAGUAGCACACGAUAAAAAAACGGAUGAAACCUGUGUGAAGUCCUGCCGCCUCGGCCCCCUCAAUGCUGUCAACAUUAUUCAUGAUUGACAGAUUGGCAUGCAUCUGAACCCCUCCCAGAGGAGAGCCACUUUUGAACAAGAACUCUAAAUAAAAUGUGUGUGUAGUUUGGGAGCUUUUUGUCAGACGGGGGUCAAUAAAGGGAUUGUUAACUGCUGCGGGUUAGAGUGACAACGACGUGUCAGACUCCACCAAGAAUAGGUGCAGGACGAUGAUAGUCUGGAAAAAAAAAGAAA